Molecule: ribosomal RNA, 253 nt
Filed under: uncultured bacterium
Lineage: Bacteria
Description: partial 16S ribosomal RNA
Rfam family: Bacterial small subunit ribosomal RNA
Source: RNAcentral
UACGUAGGGGGCAAGCGUUGUCCGGAAUCAUUGGGCGUAAAGCGCGUGUAGGCGGCUUGGUAAGUCUGGUGUGAAACCUCGGGGCUCAACCCCGAGCCUGCACUGGAUACUGCCUCGCUUGAGUCCGGGAGGGGAGAGCGGAAUUCCUAGUGUAGAGGUGAAAUGCGUAGAUAUCUGGAGGAACACCGGUGGCGAAGGCGGCAUUCUGGACCGACAUUGACGCUGAGGAGCGAAAGCCAGGGGAGCAAACGGG